GAGAGAGGUUGAAUACACACUGAUUACCCUACAGAGAGAGAGAGGUUGAAUACACACUGAUUACCCUACAGAGAGAGAGAGGUUGAAUACACACUGAUUACCCUACAGAGAGAGAGAGGUUGAAUACACACUGAUUACCCUACAGAGAGAGAGAGGUUGAAUACACACUGAUUACCCUACAGAGAGAGAGAGAGGUUGAAUACACACUGAUUACCCUACAGAGAGAGAGAGGUUGAAUACACACUGAUUACCCUACAGAGAGAGAGAGGUUGAAUACACACUGAUUACCCUACAGAGAGAGAGGUUGAAUACACACUGGUAAUGAGGAACAAGGUGAAGAGGUUGCUCCACAUGGUAAUGAGGAACAGAGUGAAGAGGUUGCUACACAUGGUAAUGAGGAACAGGGUGAAGAGGUUGCUACACAUGGUAAUGAGGAACAGGGUGAAGAGGUUGCUACACAUGGUAAUGAGGAACAGGGUGAAGAGGUUGCUCCACAUGGUAAUGAGGAACAGGGUGAAGAGGUUGCUACACAUGGUAAUGAGGAACAGGGUGAAGAGGUUGCUCCACAUGGUAAUGAGGAACAGAGUGAAGAGGUUGCUACACAUGGUAAUGAGGAACAGGGUGAAGAGG
Molecule: long non-coding RNA, 630 nt
Organism: Oncorhynchus keta (chum salmon)
Lineage: Eukaryota; Metazoa; Chordata; Actinopteri; Salmoniformes; Salmonidae
Exons: 4
Source: RefSeq, a predicted model, not a curated record